Molecule: unclassified non-coding RNA, 245 nt
Filed under: plant metagenome
Description: partial contains small subunit ribosomal RNA, internal transcribed spacer 1, and 5.8S ribosomal RNA
Source: RNAcentral
UCUCCGUUGGUGAACCAGCGGGGGGAUCAUUACCGAGUUUACAACUCCCAAACCCAAUGUGAACCAUACCAAACUGUUGCCUCGGCGGGGUCACGCCCCGGGUGCGUCGCAGCCCCGGAACCAGGCGCCCGCCGGAGGGACCAACCAAACUCUUUCUGUAGUCCCCUCGCGGACGUUAUUUCUUACAGCUCUGAGCAAAAAUUCAAAAUGAAUCAAAACUUUCAACAACGGAUCUCUUGGCUCUC